This 242-nucleotide non-coding RNA is filed under the name Alkalihalobacillus pseudalcaliphilus. Its description in RNAcentral is "Bacillus pseudalcaliphilus T-box sequence". It matches the Rfam family "T-box leader". Rfam says of the family: Uncharged tRNA acts as the effector for transcription antitermination of genes in the T-box leader family. T-boxes are found upstream of many aminoacyl-tRNA synthetase genes and some amino acid biosynthetic genes usually in Gram-positive bacteria. The record is from RNAcentral. Lineage: Bacteria; Bacillati; Bacillota; Bacilli; Caryophanales; Bacillaceae.
AUAAAUGCGUUGAUGAGGAGUAGUAGGAAAUGUAGUGGAUUAAGAGAGCUGUUGGUUGGUGCAAAACAGUCAUACUUCAUUCUGAACUCGCCUUGAAGUAGCUUCAUUGAAUCUCAGUAGAUGAAGCCGGUCCCUUACCGUUACUUAAGGAGGUAAAAGGAUUAUUCCUUUACUAUCUGAGUGCACACAAAUGUGUGAAUAAGAGUGGUACCGCGUAGGAUUUCAAGUCUUUCGUCUCUUCC